This 440-nucleotide ribosomal RNA is filed under the name uncultured bacterium. RNAcentral's name for it is "partial 16S ribosomal RNA". It matches the Rfam family "Bacterial small subunit ribosomal RNA", at positions 338 to 795 of the family's 1533-position model. The record is from RNAcentral.
CCUACGGGUGGCAGCAGUGGGGGAUAUUGCACAAUGGGGGGAACCCUGAUGCAGCGACGCCGCGUGGGUGAAGGAGCGUUUCGGCGCGUAAAGCCCUAUCGGCAGGGAAGAAGAUGACGGUACCUGACCAAGAAGCCCCGGCUAACUACGUGCCAGCAACCGCGGUAAUACGUAGGGGGCAAGCGUUAUCCGGGUUUACUGAGUGUAAAGGGGGCGCAGACUGCCAUGCAAGUCAGUAGUGAAAGCCCGGGGCUCAACCCUGGGACUGCACUUUGAACUGCAUGGCUGGAGUACAGGAAGGGCAGGCGGAAUUCCUGGUGUAGCGGUGAAAUGCGUAGAUAUUAGGAGGAACACCGGUGGCGAAGGCGGGCUGCUGGACUGUGACUGACGUUGAGGCCCGAAGGCGUGGGGAGCAAACAGGAUUAGAUACCCGGGUAGUC